AUUACCCAAUCCCGACACCGGGAGGUAGUGACAAGAAAUAACAAUACAGGGCAAUUGUCUUGUAAUUGGAAUGAUGGUGACGUAAAAUCUCACCAGAGUAACAAUUGGAGGGCAAGUCUGGUGCCAGCAGCCGCGGUAAUUCCAGCUCCAAUAGCGUAUAUUAAACUUGUUGCAGUUAAAAAGCUCGUAGUUGAAUUUCUGCGUUGCCCGACUCGGCUACUUGCCUUGUCUGGUUUCGCUUUUGGGGUUUUCCCCUUUUUACUUUGAGAAAAUUAGAGUGUUUCAAGCAGACUUGUGUCUUGAAUACUUCAGCAUGGAAUAAUAAAGUAGGACUUUGGUUCUAUUUUGUUGGUUUGUGAACCUUAGUAAUGGUUAAUAGGAACGGUUGGGGGCAUUCGUAUUUAA
RNAcentral lists this ribosomal RNA (405 nucleotides) under Babesia gibsoni. RNAcentral's name for it is "SSU rRNA". It matches the Rfam family "Eukaryotic small subunit ribosomal RNA", at positions 440 to 901 of the family's 1831-position model. The record is from RNAcentral. Lineage: Eukaryota; Apicomplexa; Aconoidasida; Piroplasmida; Babesiidae.